GUCCUGAUGGUGUAUUGGUUAUCACACCUGACUAGUAUACAGGGGGGACGUGGGUUCAAACCCACUCAGGGCA
This 73-nucleotide transfer RNA is filed under the name Desmophyllum pertusum. Its description in RNAcentral is "Lophelia pertusa tRNA". It matches the Rfam family "tRNA". Rfam says of the family: Transfer RNA (tRNA) molecules are approximately 80 nucleotides in length. Their secondary structure includes four short double-helical elements and three loops (D, anti-codon, and T loops). The record is from Rfam by way of RNAcentral. Lineage: Eukaryota; Metazoa; Cnidaria; Anthozoa; Scleractinia; Caryophylliidae.